Molecule: long non-coding RNA, 5054 nt
Organism: Nothobranchius furzeri (turquoise killifish)
Lineage: Eukaryota; Metazoa; Chordata; Actinopteri; Cyprinodontiformes; Nothobranchiidae
Source: RefSeq, a predicted model, not a curated record
CGUCUAGUCAGGAUGGACUUCAUCUUUGAUAGCCGGUGAAGCUGGAAAAAGCAGGAUAUAACCACCUGACUAAUGUGAGAGUGCAUCCGCAGCUCUGGGUCCAAAACCACCCCCAGGUUAGUGAUGGUUAGCUUCACUAAACUGGCUUCAUUAAGACUAAAUAUGUCAGGAAUUAUCCACGUGCCACUAUUUGUUUUGUUUAACCAUGUCUCACUACUCAGGCACAGCUUGGCUCCUUCAAUCAACUCAUCACUGCCGCCUGUGCCUGCUCAUAAACAGCUCGACUCCUCAGCAUCAUUUCUAGAUUGUCUGAGUCCUUGCCAAACCAAGCAGGUGUUUCAAAGUUUCCAAUAGUUUCACAGAGUUUCACCCUUUGAGCCUUCUGAGCUACAAAGUUACACAUUUGAUAGCACUGAUGUCUUUCAGCAAGGAAGUCUGAAUCUAGGCUCUGACCUUUUUGUUGAAUAUGCUGCAUGUUCUGUCCAUGCAUGCGUGGGUUUUCUCCGUGUACGACUACAUCCCACCCAGUGUUAAUUUUGUUGGUGAAAUAUUUAUAUAUUUUUCAUAACAAAUAUAUUUUUGUUAAGGAGGUGGAUUGCAUUCAGCCACAAAAAAUAAGAAGCUUUGUUUUUCCAAAUAAACGAGAUUAAUUUUGACAGAAAAUAUACAAAAUCAGCUCUGUUUUAGAAAAUUAUUGAGAUAUUUUUCACAGAAAUUAUUUUUAAAAAGCCCGGUUUUUCUGAAUUAACAUAAUUUUCACAGAAAAUAUAAAAACGUCUGGUUUUCCCAACUAACAAGACAACUUUUACAGAAAAACAUGAAAAACACUUUGUUUUUCUAAAUUAAUGAGAAAAAUUUCAUUGAAAAAAAAUUAAAAGCUCUGUUUUUCCAAAUGAACAAGACAAUUUUCACAGAAAAACUAAAAAUGACUCGGAUUUACGAACUAUAAAACCAUAUAAUACCAUAAUGCAGCCUAUUGCCAUCUUCCUCUUUGCCUACAUCUGACCACUUCCAUUAUACAUUUAGUUAUUUUUUCAAAUUUAUAUCCGCCGUGAUCGCUUCACAGGCCACGGCUGCAAAAAUGCAGUGUCACUGGAAAGCAAUAAGCCUUUUGUUCUGUGCCUACAUCAAGUGAAAUGGAUAAAGUUUUGUUUGCCAUGGUUACUUGAAAAAUUCCGGCUUAGUUAUAUGCAGAGUCUUCAUAAAGUGCUUUGUAUCGACUAUUUCUGGUAGUAAAUGAGUGUGUAGGAGGAGGGAUAUGAUCUACAAACACCUGAGCAUAUUUUCAGGAAGACUGUGUUUUAGAAACCAGGAAUUGUAUGAGUGAGUUGUUUUAUUGGUCAGAAAAUGAGUUUGGGUCAGUAAAUGUUUAAGGAUGUUUAAGGAUUAGAUGUAGUUUUAUAAAUGAGGCCUCAUUUGAAUUGGAAAUGAUAAAUACUCUGCAGAAAAAAAAGAUAAAUAUACUAAAUAAAACAGGUUGUGCAAGAAAUGUCACAUAUAUCUGUUAGCCUUGUGUGCAAUCUGGAAACCGAGCAACUAUGUGUGUGCACCAUCUGGAAAAGGAUAUCAGAGAACCAUUUCUGUUGUCUCACAGAUAGAAGGUUCUGUUUUAACUCAAAGAGGUGAGACUGGAGAAGCAGCUCGUUGUUGCUGCAGCAGCAGAAUCUCCUCAGAAAAUCUGGUAGGAAGGAUCAAGUCUAGCAAAAUAAUGUCAAAAAGGGUUUUGUUACAAUUUACACAUAAUUACAUCCAUGUAAGAUUUACAGAUUUGGCCCUGAACAGAAAAAUAAUUAUGUCAUCAGAAAUGAAAAUAGUUUAACUAGAUUUAUUCAACAACAACGAAAUUAUCAACAGUGUGUUUAGUUUCCAGAAAGAUUGACCAUUUUUUAAAAUAUUCACCAUCAAUGAGGGUGAAUGGAGAAACAGUUUGUGACACGUGAUAAGUGAGCGGGGCAGCAGUAGCUCAGGAGGUAGAGCGGGUUGCAGGAUCGACCCCGGUUCCUGGCAAAGAAUAAUGCUGUUGUGUCCUUGGGCAAGACACUUAACCCACCAUGCUUGUUGGAGGUGGUCGGAGGGACUGGUGCCAGUCAGCAGCCUAGUUUCCAUCAGUGUCCCCCAAGGCAGCUGUGGCUACAAUGUAGCUCAUCAUCACCAGUGUGUGAAGGUGUGUGUUGGAGCCUUCUGACUCUGAAAGGUGUCUUACAAGUGUGGGUCAUUUAUCAUUUAAAACUGGUAUAAUAAAGAACGGAAGUCGAAAGAGAACAUCCACUGAAAUGAAUACUUGUUUUUGUUUUAAGGUUGUUUUUAAUUACCGGUAUAAUUGAAUAUGAUCAGAAAGGAAAACAUUGAUUAGAAUCUGUGCCAUUAAAGAGCAAGUCACCCACAAAUCAACUUUUUUUUGCUGAUAAACUAAAAUCGUGCUGCAGACACGUGUCGUCAAUAAUUUGGCACUUCAGUGCAUCUUAGUUAAAAUUUAAAUAUUCUGCCUAAAACUGUCAGUGUUACGCCGUUGUCAGGUAAAAACUCUGCACUGUAUUUGGAUUUAAAUCUGCCACCGCUAUUGGCUAAGAGGUAUGCUAUGAUGUAAACUGGUACAUUAUGAUGUCACAAUGCUGUCGUGAGCUUGUGUGUGUGUGUAUUUGUUAGCGGCUCCGCCCUCUCGGUCUGCCAGGCAACAGCAUUUGUUGCAUUUUUCAAACAUGAAGUGGGAGUGGAGUUAGACUCUGGUAGGGGGGUGACUUGCUCUUUAACUGUACAGUAUUUAUCAUCAUGCUUAAAACUAAUUCUGAAAUGGAGGCACCUAGAAUCUGUCGUUCAUGCUGUUAUAACCUCCUGCUUCCUGUGCCAAUGCACUGACCAGUACCCCUUUCUCGGCUUUGAACCGGCUGCAGGUUGUUCAGAAUGCUGCAGCCAGGUUCCCGACAAGCACCAGCCACUGCAGUCAAAUGACUUUGGUUCUGGCGCAGCUUCACUUUAGGAUAGGAUUUACCUGAUCAUUACAUUUAAAGCGCUCAAGGGCCUGGUACCAACGUAUCUGUCCAAGCUGCUCUCUCACUAUGUCCCUAUGCAUGUGCUGAGGUCUGCCGAUCUUCUGCUGCUCUCUACACCACAGGUGAGAUACUAAUCUAGGGAGGACGGGCUUUUGUGUGUGCCGCCCCGACACUCUGGAUCUCACUGUUUCUGUCGGACAGACAGGCUCCACCUCUUGCCUGUUAUGUUCAAUAACUCACUUUUAUGGCUUGGCCUUUGGGCAGUGACUUCAGUGCUUCUGUCUGAGGUUUUACUGAUUGAUUGUUUUACCUGUUGUUGCAACUUGUCUUGAUAGAGCUCUCAUGCUGUGUUUAAAUGUGCUCUACAAAUAAACUGGUAUGGUACGAUCUGUUUUUUCUUCUUCUUUCCUUCUGAAUGCAAAGUGUCGGCCCUUCAGUGUCCUCAGACACCAUUAUGAUCAUCAUCAUGAAGGUAGAUACUGAGGACACCUAGAGGCAAACAGAAGUAACAACAGCAACUGUAAGUACACCAGCACCUUUUGAUAGGAGACUUGAACGUGUUUGUUUUGGUAAAACUGCUUUUGAUUCUCCACCAGGCAACAAUAAAAUGUGACUGAAAGCAUAAAAACUGCAAAUCCUGCAAGAAUUAUUUUUUGUAGCAAUUUUCAAAAGGCUGCAACAAAAAGCAACCACAAAUCAGUCAGUGUGGUUUGGUUUAUUGUACCUGUAAAACAACUUUUACUGUCUAAGAAAUGUCAUUUCUAAAGCAAUAAAAUACCACAAAAAGAAUAUAGAAUUAUUAAAUAUUUCACACUAAAUUCCCAGAGUCAUGUGCCGUAUGGGCAGGGAUUUAAAGCGUUAUAUAUUUAAUAUAUUUUAAAGAAAACGUAUACAUUUACUGGUAAAUUAUUUUAAAAAGUCAUAAUUUUCCAUGGAGUUCUGUUUUCUACCAGAAGAUGUCGCUACAGGUUCAGUAUUAGUGUCUUCUUUCAUUACAAGUAAAAUUUUAUUGUCACAACUGUUAUUAUUUAAUACUUUAAAAAGUUUUUUCUAAAGAAUGAUUUCAUGACAUUAGACGGUAAAAAAAUACAAGAUUUUUAUUAAAUGUAUGUUGUUUACAGAGAUAAACUGUAAAUACAUUCAAGAUCAAAACAAAUAAAAUAACUUCAUACAAAAGUUUGUGUAUCAGGACAUCAAACAUCAUUUUUAUAUGUGACAUAUUAAGGCAAAAAUAACAUUAGAUUAACAACAGCACAGAAACAAUUGUGGGAAAGUAAUUUAGUCAUCAGAGGGGUUUCUAUUAUAAUUGUUUUAAAUUGAAAUUCACUCGUUUCAGGCAGAUGCUUGAGUGAACCAUUGAAACAUAUUGAAUUUUUUAGGCUCUUUUCUUUGUGGAUUUGAUCUGUAGCUCGAUCCAGUUUUAGCUAGUCUUAGGUUGUCGACAUCACAUGUGAAUCUUCAUAAAUAGUUUAGGCUUUAGACUAAAUCAGCGCCCUGGCUGGAACUUGAAGCAUAAAACAAAUAGAUGUAAAAAGCAUCAUUUGGUCAUAGAACUUUUUGAGGUAUUUAACCACAAUUAUAACUUCUGUAAAAAUCAGCCAGACAGCAAAUCACACCCACUGUCAUGUUCCUGGGCAGAGGUGAGUCACACCUUCUCCUCUCACCAGACUCUGAGCUAAUUCUCCACAGGUGAGGAGCAGGGGGAGCGGCAGCUGCAGGAGAUUUCCCAAUCAGGGACGCGGGUUCAAAAGGAGGAUGGAGACACAUCACUUUGCCGGAUGAUUGCACCAGUUUAGGAUCAUCUCAUCAUCUACUCACCCUCGCUGUCUUCGUUUUCUGGAACAUACUCAUCACGUCCCAUCCUCCUCCGCCGUUCCUGUUUGGCUUUCCCUCUGCUACCUCACCCCUCCUGGAUCUCUCAUCCUCUGCCCAGCGUCCUCCCCGGCUUCCCCUCCUCUCCUGAUUAACCUGAGCACCUCAGAGACUCGAGCCGUAUUGCUCAUCCCACAGGACUUCCCUGUGCGGUUUCAGUUCCCGUUUUUAUAAUAAAGACAUUUUACUUUA